CCUACGGGUGGCAGCAGUCGAGAAUCAUUCACAAUGGGGGAAACCCUGAUGGUGCGACGCCGCGUGGGGGAAUGAAGGUCUUCGGAUUGUAAACCCCUGUCAUGUGGGAGCAAAUUAAAAAGAUAGUACCACAAGAGGAAGAGACGGCUAACUCUGUGCCAGCAGCCGCGGUAAUACAGAGGUCUCAAGCGUUGUUCGGAAUCACUGGGCGUAAAGCGUGCGUAGGCUGUUUCGUAAGUCGUGUGUGAAAGGCGCGGGCUCAACCCGCGGACGGCACAAGAUACUGCGAGACUAGAGGAAAGGAGGGGGAACCGGAAGUCGUGGGUGAGGAGGGAAAGGCGUAGAUAUCGAGAGGAA
Molecule: ribosomal RNA, 357 nt
Filed under: uncultured bacterium
Lineage: Bacteria
Description: partial 16S ribosomal RNA
Rfam family: Bacterial small subunit ribosomal RNA
Source: RNAcentral